Molecule: long non-coding RNA, 3979 nt
Filed under: Salmo trutta (river trout)
Lineage: Eukaryota; Metazoa; Chordata; Actinopteri; Salmoniformes; Salmonidae
Description: lncRNA (ENSSTUG00000022984.1)
Source: RNAcentral
GUCAGACAGUGGGCAACGAGAGCUCGCUUUGGAUCUCUUUUCUAUUGCUUGGAACUUUCUAGCAUGUGGCCUUUCUUUUUUGAUUGUGUGUACAUUUUGUGUUUGUGCGUACUAUGGUGUGUUAGUGCAUGAAGGUGUCUGUAUGUGUGUCUGUUAUUUGUGUGUGUGUGUUGAUACCGUGCUGACUGGUGUGUCUCUCUCCCAGUGCUGAGGGAAAACUCCCUAUGCUGUAGAGGAACGCCGGGUGCUGUGCUGUAACCAGACCUUGCACCGUGGGGUGGAGGCUGGGCACCAGUGCUCCCCAGGUGGCCACUUGUAUCUGCCAUCCCGUGACAUGGUGUGUGUGUCACAUGUUAAUCUCGAUGAUCCAAGCAAACACUGUUGUGGAGAGGAGACAUACGACACUCAGGAUGAAAUCUGUUGCGACGGACUCAAAUUUUGUGAUGACGGCCCCAUCCACAACAGAGUGCAAAGUCCUCCUGGUAAUCUACGGCCUGCUGGGUUGCUCUGCCACCAUCCUCUUCUUCAAACUCUUCCUGGAGAAGAUCAUCACCAUGUUGGGCUUCCUCAUGCGAUGGUGCCACUAGAAGAGAACACACAAUAUCAGGCUAGGGGGCAACAACAACCAAGGAGGGUGGGAAAGAAGGGUGGAGGCCCUCUGUGUAUUCGGUCACUCUCAAACUACCUCCUCAUGCUCCUGGGGGUAUGCUGUACCUACUCCCUCUUCAAUGCCCUCUCUGUCAUCAUCAAACGGGAUGCACUGGAUCCUGAGUCAGCUGAUCCAUCUGCGUAGCUGCCUGUGCCACGGCAGACCUCUACAAUGUGUGUCUGGCUGUAGAACUCUCCACCACCCUGACCUUUUUCAAUUGCUCCUGUAUCUCUGUGCUGCUACCUUCACCUCUGGACUUCUCCCAUCCUUCGACUACCAUCUGUGGACACCUUUCUUGCUACAACCUCUGAACACCUUUAAUGUUUGUGCUUCAAUGCCUAGAGUAAGUAGACUUUGUGGAGCCAGAGUGCCUUUGCAGUUAUCUUAUGUAUAUAUUAUGUGUUACUGUGUCAUAAGCCCAUUACUACUUAAUUCCAAACUAUUUAUAGUUGUUGUUGUACAGCCUUCUUCAGGCUAGGGUCUUUUUUUUCAAUUUCCGCCUGACUGAUGUGCCCAAAGUAAACUGCCUGUUGCUCGGGCCCUGAAGCCAGGAUAUGCAUAUAAUGGGUACCAUUGGAAAGAAAACACUCUGAAGUUUGUAGAAAUGAUGUAGGUAACUAUAACACAAUAGAUAUGCUAGAAGAAAAUCCAAAGAAAAACCAACCAGAUUUUUGGAGGAUUAAAGGAUUAAAUAGAGAUUAAAUCAACUCAAAUGAAAUCAAAUUUAGGUUAUGAGGGGUGGCCAGUCCUCUUCUGGCUGUGCCGGGUGGAGAUUAUAACAGCACAUGGCCAAGAUGUUCAAAUGUUCAUAAAUGACCAGCAUGGUCAAAUAAUAAUAAUCAUAGUAGUUGUCAAGGGUGCAACAAGUCAGCAACUCAAGAGUAAGUGUCAGUUGGCUUUUUCAUAGCCGAUCUUUGAGAGUAUCUCUACUGCUCCUGCUGUCUCUAGAGAGUUGAAAACAGCAGGUCUGGGACAGGUAGCAGGUCUGGGACAGGUAGCACGUCCGGUGAACAGGUCAGGGUUCCAGCAGGUCUGGGACAGCAGUUCUGGGACAGGUAGCACGUCCGGUGAACAGGUCAGGUCAGGGUUCCAGAUUAAAUAUAUUUAAUCUGAGGAUUAAAUAGAAAUGUAUUUUGACUUGUUGAAACAAAGUUUAGGGGUAGAUUUUCGGAUUCCUAUCUUGGCAUGUUGAAUGAGUGGAUUACUCAAAUCGAUGGCGCCAACUAAAAUGACUUUUUGGGAUAUAAAGAAGGGUUUUAUCUAACAAAACGACACUACAUAUUAUAGCUGGGACCCUUUGGAUGACAAAUCAGAGGAAGAUUUUCAAAAAGUAAUUGAAUAUUUAAUCACUAUUUGUAAAGUUAUGAAACCUGUGCCGGUGGAAAAAUAUUUUGAUGUGGGGCGCCGCCCUCAAACAAUUGCAUGGCAUCAUUUUGCUGUAAAGCCUACAGUAAAUCAGACAGUGCAGUUCGAUUAUCAAGAAUUUAAGCUUUCAACUGAUAUAAGACACUUGUAUGUACCUAAAUGUUUAAUAUCCAUCAUUUUUAUGAUUAUUUAUUUGAAUUGCGGGCCAUCCAGUUUCACCGGAAGUUGUCCCGCUAGCGGGACGCCUAGACUUAAGAAGUGAGUGUAUCUAUGUUAGUAUUUCACCUGUAUAUAAUAUGUCAUGUUACAUAGUCCUUUAAUAGCUUCAUGGUCGAGCUAUGAGUACUUUUACCGUUGGGACAAUAGUUACUCUACUUGCCAUUAAAACCUAUAGGCAUAAGAUGGCCACCUGCCGUGAGGUAUUUAGCAUCCAAUAAUGCUGGCAUUUCCGCUUUCUCAUUGCCAUGUGAUCUUUCCUAGACGGCAGCCCCCAUAGCCUUGUUUAUAUUAACAUGCUAGCUUAAUUAACCUAGCAUGCUAACUGGAAUGCUCACAUUUAUGCAAACCUGUGCAAACUAUGUAUGGGGUUUAUACUGUUAUGUUAUGUUAGCUUAUUCUGUUUAUUAUGUUAGGUUAUAUCCUUUUCCUACAAGCUUAUUAGCUUUCAAGCUAUUCACUUAUAAUUUCCUUAAUAGCCUGUAGUUUGUUAGUCUAGCCGCUAAUGUAUGCUAGUAACCGUUAUGCCUUAUAAUGUGUAAUGUAUUCUCUAUUAUCCUGUUGCUAAUACUUAGCUGAGACUGUGUUUAGCUUUCCUAACCUUUGCCUAUUGCCUAUAUACAGUGCAUUGCUCCCAUUGCGGCUAUGCUAUUAGCCUUGCCUCUAUUACUCCUACUAUUGCUUAGCAUAUUAGCCUUAUAUUAUUAUAGCACAUUUAUAGCCAUGUCAUUACACUUCUAAUCCUAUUAGCUAUCAUUGUAGCAUUGUUAUUGCUAUGUUAUCAUGCCGUUACUGUUGCUAAAUCUUUAUAGCCAUAUCACUGUUUAAUAUAUCUUCCUAUUUGUCUUCUUACAGAAUACCACACACAUAACACAUCCAUCAAAUGUAUCAGUAUCACUCCUAUUCUCCUGUAAUACCUUCGUGCCCUUUGUGCUGCUGUCUGUGCCCAAUAAUGUUUGUACCAUGUUUUGUGCUGCUACCAUGUUGUGUUCCUACCAUGUUGUUGUCAUGUUGUGUUGCUACCAUGCUGUGUUGUCAUGUGUUUCUGCCUUGCUAUGUUACUGUCUUAGGUUUCUCUUUAAGUAGUGUUGUGUUGUCUCUUGUCGUGAUGUGUGUUUUGUCCUAUAUUUAUAUACAUUACCGUUCAAAAGUUUGGGGUCACUUAGAAAUGUCCAUGUUUUUAAAAGAAAAUAAAAAAAAUUGUCCAUUAAAAUAACAUAAAAUUUAUCAGAAAUACAGUGUAGACAUUGUUAAUGUUGUAAUGACUAUUGUAGCUGGAAAUGGCUGAUUUUUAAUGGAAUAUCUACAUAGGCGUACAGAGGCCCAUUAUCAGCAACCAUCACUCCUGUGUUCCAAUGGCACCUCACAAGUCCUCAACUGGCAGCUUCAAUAAAUAGUAUCCGCAAAACACCAGUCUCAACGUCAACAGUGAAGAGGCGACUCCGGGAUGCUGGCCUUCUAGGCAGAGUUCCUCUGUCCAGUGUCUGUGUUCUUUUGCCCAUCUUAAUCUUUUCUUUUUAUUGGCCCGUCUGAGAUAUGGCUUUUUCUUUGCAACUCUGCAAGGCCAGCGUCCCGGAGUCACCUCUUCACUGUUGACGUUGAGACUGGUGUUUUGCGGGUACUAUUUAAUGAAGCUGCCAGUUGAGGACUUGUGAGGCGUCUGUUUCUCAAACUAGAUACUCUAAUGUACUUGUCCUCUUGCUCAGUUGUGCACCCGGGCCUCCCACUCCCCUUUCUAUUCUGGUUAGG